This 861-nucleotide ribosomal RNA is filed under the name Pireneitega luctuosa. RNAcentral's name for it is "SSU rRNA". It matches the Rfam family "Eukaryotic small subunit ribosomal RNA", at positions 956 to 1831 of the family's 1831-position model. Lineage: Eukaryota; Metazoa; Arthropoda; Arachnida; Araneae; Agelenidae. The record is from RNAcentral.
UGCCAAGAAUGUUUCCAUUAAUCAAGAACGAAAGUUAGAGGUUCGAAGGCGAUCAGAUACCGCCCUAGUUCUAACCAUAAACGAUGCCAGCCAGCGAUCCGGCUGUGUUCCUCAAAUGACACGCCGGGCAGCUUCCGGGAAACCAAAGCUUUUGGGUUCCGGGGGAAGUAUGGUUGCAAAGCUGAAACUUAAAGGAAUUGACGGAAGGGCACCACCAGGAUUGGAGCUUGCGGUUUAAUUUGACUCAACACGGGACAACCUACCCGGCCCGGACACAGGAAGGAUUGACAGAUUAAGAGCUCUUUCUUGAUUCUGUGGGUGGUGGUGCAUGGCCGUUCUUAGUUGGUGGACUGAUUUGUCUGGUUAAUUCCGUUAACGAACGAGACUCUAGCCUACUAAAUAGACGUUCCGAUUAUUUAUUUUUCGGACGUUCUUCUUAGAGGGACAAUCGGCGCUUAGCCCGAUGAGACAGAGCAAUAACAGGUCUGUGAUGCCCUUUGAUGUCCGGGGCCACACGCGUGCUACAUUGAAGGAAUCAGCGUGUGCUUUCCCUGUCCGACAGGACUGGGUAACCCGUUGAACCUCCUUCGUGCUGGGGAUAGGGGCUUGUAAUUGUUCCCCUUGAACGAGGAAUUCCUAGUAAGCACGAAUCAUCAGUUCGUGUUGACUAAGUCCCUGCCCUUUGUCCACACCGCCCGUCGCUACUACCGAUUGAAUGAUUUAGUGAGGUCUUCGGACUGGCGCUCGGAGCGGCCUUCGGGUCGCGCCGGCGUGCCGGAAAGAUGACCAAACUUGGUCAUUUAGAGGAAGUAAAAAGUCGUAACAAGCGUUUCCGUAGGUGAACCUGGGGAGAGAGGAUCA